GGGGUGAUAGCUCAGUUGGGAGAGCGUUUGACUGAAGUCUACUUCGAUCAGUAAAACCCAUCGGGUUAUCAGAAGGUCGCCGGUUCGAUCCCGGUUCACCCCA
This is a transfer RNA of Aspergillus bombycis, 103 nucleotides long. It matches the Rfam family "tRNA". Rfam says of the family: Transfer RNA (tRNA) molecules are approximately 80 nucleotides in length. Their secondary structure includes four short double-helical elements and three loops (D, anti-codon, and T loops). Further hydrogen bonds mediate the characteristic L-shaped molecular structure. tRNAs have two regions of fundamental functional importance: the anti-codon, which is responsible for specific mRNA codon recognition, and the 3' end, to which the tRNAs corresponding amino acid is attached (by aminoacyl-tRNA synthetases). tRNAs cope with the degeneracy of the genetic code in two manners: having more than one tRNA (with a specific anti-codon) for a particular amino acid; and 'wobble' base-pairing, i.e. permitting non-standard base-pairing at the 3rd anti-codon position. The record is from Rfam. Lineage: Eukaryota; Fungi; Ascomycota; Eurotiomycetes; Eurotiales; Aspergillaceae.